CCGGAGCGGAUCCAUAGAGUUUGAUCAUGGCUCAGCGUGAACUCGGAUGCUCGAAACUCCGACCACCGGUCGCCGGGUGAUUAACGCCUAUACAAUCUGCCUUGUACUGAGGGAUAGCCCAGAGAAAUUUGGAUUAAUACCUCAUAGUAUAUGGAUCUCUCAUGAGGCUCAUAUUAAAGGUUACGGUACAAGAUGAGUAUGCGUUCUAUUAGCUAGAUGGUAAGGUAACGGCUUACCAUGGCUACGAUAGAUAGGGGCCCUGAGAGGGGGAUCCCCCACACUGGUACUGAGACACGGACCAGACUCCUACGGGAGGCAGCAGUGAGGAAUAUUGGACAAUGGGCGAGAGCCUGAUCCAGCCAUGCCGCGUGCAAGAUGACGGCCCUAUGGGUUGUAAACUGCUUUUAUACAGGAAGAAACACCCCGACGUGUCGGGACUUGACGGUACUGUAAGAAUAAGGAUCGGCUAACUCCGUGCCAGCAGCCGCGGUAAUACGGAGGAUCCAAGCGUUAUCCGGAAUCAUUGGGUUUAAAGGGUCCGUAGGUGGACAAUUAAGUCAGAGGUGAAAUCCUGCAGCUCAACUGUAGAAUUGCCUUUGAUACUGGUUGUCUUGAGUUAUUAUGAAGUAGUUAGAAUAUGUAGUGUAGCGGUGAAAUGCAUAGAUAUUACAUAGAAUACCAUUGCGAAGGCAGAUUACUAAUAAUGAACUGACACUGAUGGACGAAAGCGUGGGGAGCGAACAAGAUUAGAUACCUGGUAGUCCACGCCCGUAACAAUGGUUACUAAUUGUUCGGAUUUCGGUCUGAGUGACUAAGCGAAAGUGAUAAGUAACCCACCUGGGGAGUACGUUCGCAAGAAUGAAACUCAAAGGAAUUGACGGGGGCCCGCACAAGCGGUGGAGCAUGUGGUUUAAUUCGAUGAUACGCGAGGAACCUUACCAGGGCUUAAAUGUAGAUUGACAGGUUUAGAGAUAGACUUUUCUUCGGACAAUUUACAAGGUGCUGCAUGGUUGUCGUCAGCUCGUGCCGUGAGGUGUCAGGUUAAGUUCUAUAACGAGCGCAACCCCUGUUGUUAGUUGCCAGCGAUUCAAGUCGGGAACUCUAACAAGACUGCCAGUGCAAACUGUGAGGAAGGUGGGGAUGACGUCAAAUCAUCACGGCCCUUACGUCCUGGGCUACACACGUGCUACAAUGGUAGGGACAGAGAGCAGCCACUUUGCGUGAAGGAGAGAAUCUAUAAAGCGUAUACAUCAGUAUGACUGAGUUGACG
RNAcentral lists this ribosomal RNA (1270 nucleotides) under Flavobacterium sp. BSR01. RNAcentral's name for it is "partial 16S ribosomal RNA". It matches the Rfam family "Bacterial small subunit ribosomal RNA", at positions 1 to 1307 of the family's 1533-position model. The record is from RNAcentral. Lineage: Bacteria; Pseudomonadati; Bacteroidota; Flavobacteriia; Flavobacteriales; Flavobacteriaceae.